UGAAACCAAUGGAGGAUAUCUCUGCCAUGCUGCCUUUAAGCUUAGUUGAAUCUUAUUGCUAUUCUCUCCUUGUAUUUUGCUUAUCAGUUCUACUUCCUCUAUUUAUUAAUUAUUGGUUAAUCUUUCUUCCAGGACUUUUGUGGGGACAAAUUUAAGUCCUUUGUGGGAAAGGUUCCUGGCUCCAUCAGAAGGUAAAUCAUUACAAUUUUCUGCCUUUUUUUUAACUUAAGUACUACUAUUUUGUGGUUACCCUAUGACCUUAAACUGUUAGCACCUGAACUUAGGUAAUCUAACACCUGACUUUCAAAAUGAAGCUGCUUUGAUGUCCAAUAAAAUUAUCAAGAAAGGAUCAAGGGGAUGGGGGUUGAGUUAUUGAAAAUUUAAGGCAGUAGGAGGGUAGCUGUCUUCGGUUUCCUUGCUUGGAUGCAGUGGAGUUUCCCUUUGUGUCUGAAAAUAUGUAGAUCUCGCUCUUCUCUCUGUUCCCAAGUACAGGAGAUAUUACUGGAUCCUGAAAUCAUUAGCCAUUUGGGAACUUGAGCAUUCAUCAUCGUAUAGCUGUCCAAUUCCAUAACUCUUAGUACAGUAACCCAAUAACAGAGGCGCUCCAAUCUUCAUUCAAGUUAUAACUGUUUUAGGUCCUGCCUUCCUCCUUUGUACCUUGUUUGAAUUGGAUUGUGUUCCAUUUUUUAAUCAGAAAAUAUUCAGAAAGGGUAAAGGAUGUAAAAUUGUUGCCUUUUUUAUGCCUCAAUUGUCAUGUAGGUUCAUAGAAUUGCUAAACAAGGGAAUAAGAAACAAGGAGUAGUAUUGCAUAUUGGCUGCUUUAUGAGUUGGUUGUUUUCAUUAAGAAGAUAGCUUACUAUGUCACUGUUGGAAGAUAUAGAAGUCAACUAUUUGAAUUUGAAAGUCAGCUAUUUGAAUUUGAAAGUCAACUUAAUAUUGACGGAGAGCAGAAACCAGAUCUCUUCUGUCUACUGUACAUAACUAGCACUUGACCAAUCAAAAAGCCACAACUCCCUGUAGUUGAGAUGAAACUUCUGAAUUUGCUCCUUUGACAAUUAAUUUAACAGGUUUCACAUGGCACUUGGAGUCUCACAACUAGUUGAAGUUUUCAUUAACAAUGGUCUGGUAUAAUUAAUAGAUAACCAUUCUUAAGCAUAUAAUUAGAUGUUUGAUUUGUAUAUUUAUACAUGUAUGGAAAAAUAUUUAAUAUUUAUUAGAAGAAAUCAACUACUUCAAUGAGUGUUGUUACAAAGAAAAACCUUCAAUGAAUGUGUUAGAAUUUGAGAUUUUUAAAAUAAAAUAUUUUCUCUAUAGUUUCAAAUCGCUUCUAAAGUUGAUUAAUGGUUGCUUGUGUUUGUAACAACUAGUUGAAGGCUAAUGAUAUUUAAUUUUGCACACUAUUCUAAUUACUUUUUGCUCUACUUGAUAAGGGGAUUUAAUAGGUUUUGUAUUUAAGCUCUUAGUAAAACACUAAUGAGCUCCAAUUUGAGGCUAAGGUCUUAAUUUAUCCUUGAUAUACUCUAUUUAAACCUAUUUUUAGGACUUUUGAUAAGAGAUCCUUUACAGUUUUUUUUUUUUUUUUGUGCUUUAUUUCUCGCUUGGGUAUAUUACCCAUUUGAGAUUUCUUUUUAGAUAUUGAGGUUUAGUUUUAAACUGCUUAUCAAUUCUAGUUUAUAUUAUUUCUCUAUCAAUAUUUUUCAUUUUCUAUAAAUCUUGAUUGUGAAUUCUUUUGGGUUGAUGCAUCAUCAUCUAAAUUUGGGUUUGUAUUCUUGAUCAGGGACUGUGAUGCAUGAUUUGUCAUACUCAAAUUGAGAUUGAUAGGGUCUAUGAUGCUUAAUCAACGAUUUGAUUAAAAAAAUGAUCGAUUUAGAAAUUGGUUUGGUGACUUAGAAGGCAGGCACUUGAUUGUCAAACCUAAGUUAAUUAAAUUUUGGCUGCUUAAUUCUGUGGAUAUUCUAUUGAAAUUAUUGAUGCUUAAUUGGUUGAAUUCAAGGUCAAAAUAGAAUUGAAACAAUAAUUUUGAUGUUGAACAAAUGGAUUG
Molecule: long non-coding RNA, 2041 nt
Filed under: Glycine max (soybean)
Lineage: Eukaryota; Viridiplantae; Streptophyta; Magnoliopsida; Fabales; Fabaceae
Description: long non-coding RNA (GMAX_LNC000115)
Source: RNAcentral